This 419-nucleotide unclassified non-coding RNA is filed under the name fungal sp. Its description in RNAcentral is "partial internal transcribed spacer region". The stretch from base 1 to 46 matches the Rfam family "Eukaryotic small subunit ribosomal RNA", at positions 1786 to 1831 of the family's 1831-position model. The record is from RNAcentral. Lineage: Eukaryota; Fungi.
AAGUCGUAACAAUGUUUCCGUAGGUGAACCUGCGGAAGGAUCAUUAACACGUAUCCAAACGUUAAAACCCCCCGUGAACAUUGAUUCCUGCUCUUGUAACCCGCGAAGCUUGCAGGGUUGUAAGGGGGCAAGGGGACCCUUUGGCCCAGCUCCUGCCCGCGAGGUGCGGUCUACAAGAAUCGUGAAGCGUUAUCCUUGCACAAUCACUGACACUUUCAGACACUGACUGCUUGGGGAAACAAGGCCUAUAGAACUACCGCUCGAAUUGUAACUGUUCCAAUUUUCGCACGGGCCAGAGGUCUCAAUCAAAACUACUUUCGGGCUAUGAUUUACCAGAGAUUCACAGUUAAAUGUGAAGCUCAAUGUAAUACAUUGGGUAAAAAACCGAACAACUGUUAACAAUGGAUAUCUUGGUUCUC